ACAACCUUACUUGAACAGGAUCUGUUUUAUAAGCUUGUACCUCUGUGUCCUUGAGUUUCAAGGAGACAAGAACCACAGCUUGGUGGAUGACUUAUGACCAGGUGAUCAGAGCGUGAUUAUUGGUGUUGGUUGCCCAAUCUUGUGCUCAACCUGGCUCUGAUACCACGUG
This is a small nucleolar RNA of Prosopis cineraria, 169 nucleotides long. RefSeq annotates it as small nucleolar RNA U3. The transcript has a single exon. Lineage: Eukaryota; Viridiplantae; Streptophyta; Magnoliopsida; Fabales; Fabaceae. The record is from RefSeq and is a predicted model, not a curated record.